Molecule: transfer RNA, 68 nt
Filed under: Lepisiota frauenfeldi
Lineage: Eukaryota; Metazoa; Arthropoda; Insecta; Hymenoptera; Formicidae
Description: tRNA-Thr
Source: RNAcentral
ACUAAUAUAGUUUAAUUAUAAAACAUUAAUUUUGUAAAUUAAAAAUAUUUUAAUUUAAAUUAUCAGUA